CCCAAGCAAUGCACUUGGCGUUCUCUUUCAAUCUUACCCCUUUGCCCGAAUUCAAAGAGUCAUAUAUUUUAUUUCUUUUUAGAAGACUUUAAGAUUUGUCUUCUCAUCUUCAUUGCCACAGCUGAGUAGUUGCUAGCUAUUCAUCUCACACUUAGCUGGAAUAUGAUUCUCUCAUUUUUUCUUUCUAAUACAUGCAGUUUUGUUCUAGUAAUUUUCCUUACCUGUACUUUUUUACUAUUAUUUUCUUUCUAAACUCUCUACUGAAUAUUUCCCUGCUUCUCCUGUGUUUAAGUGAGAACUGUGCCUGACUGAGUUCUUUGGAAGAAUUUUUCUCAUUGUGUCCCCCUUAUCAGUCAUUACUCCACAUGGCUCCUAUGAUCCAAAAUGGCUAACAUUAGGACCGUUUUAUUCUGUCACUUCUGAGUCCUUCAUCAUACUUUUCUUUCAGACCCAAACCAUCUUCAUCUUCC
This 470-nucleotide long non-coding RNA is filed under the name Homo sapiens (human). Its description in RNAcentral is "HSALNT0059351". Lineage: Eukaryota; Metazoa; Chordata; Mammalia; Primates; Hominidae. The record is from RNAcentral.